UACGUAGGGCGCAAGCGUUGUCCGGAAUUAUUGGGCGUAAAGAGCUCGUAGGCGGUUUGUCGCGUCUGUCGUGAAAGCUUGGGGCUUAACCCCAAGUCUGCGGUGGAUACGGGCAGACUAGAGGCAGGUAGGGGAGAACGGAAUUCCCGGUGUAGCGGUGAAAUGCGCAGAUAUCAGGAGGAACACCAAUGGCGAAGGCAGCUCACUGGGACGGUAUUGACGCUGAGACGCGAAAGCGUGGGGAGCAAACAGG
This 253-nucleotide ribosomal RNA is filed under the name uncultured bacterium. RNAcentral describes it as "partial 16S ribosomal RNA". It matches the Rfam family "Bacterial small subunit ribosomal RNA", at positions 524 to 776 of the family's 1533-position model. The record is from RNAcentral.